This 75-nucleotide small nuclear RNA is filed under the name Spermophilus dauricus (Daurian ground squirrel). The record is from RNAcentral. Lineage: Eukaryota; Metazoa; Chordata; Mammalia; Rodentia; Sciuridae.
GGUUGAUACAGAAAAGAUUAGCAUGGUCUCUGUGCAAGGAUGAUAUGUAAAUUCAAAAAAGCAUUCCAUAUAUUC